Small nucleolar RNA from Impatiens glandulifera, 93 nucleotides. Lineage: Eukaryota; Viridiplantae; Streptophyta; Magnoliopsida; Ericales; Balsaminaceae. The record is from RefSeq and is a predicted model, not a curated record.
UUUGAGACUAUGAUGUUGAAUACCUACCUAUUUGCUGAUAAGGGAAUUCAUUCCCUUUGUGAUUAGAAACCAUCUAAUUCUUCUGAGUCUCAU